AUCGCUUCUCGGCCUUUUGGCUAAGAUCAAGUGUAGUAUCUGUUCUUAUCAGUUUAAUAUCUGAUACGUCCUCUAUCCGAGGACAAUAUAUAUAUUUUUUUUUUUUUUUUUGUGGUUUUUGGGUCACACCCGGCAGUGCUCAGGGGUUAUUUCUGGUUCCAGGCUCAGAAAUUGCUCCUGGGGGCC
This is a small nuclear RNA of Suncus etruscus (white-toothed pygmy shrew), 186 nucleotides long. RefSeq annotates it as U2 spliceosomal RNA. The record is from RefSeq and is a predicted model, not a curated record. The transcript has a single exon. NCBI's taxonomy places the organism in Eukaryota, Metazoa, Chordata, Mammalia, Eulipotyphla, Soricidae.